This 399-nucleotide long non-coding RNA is filed under the name Brassica napus (rape). RNAcentral describes it as "long non-coding RNA (BNAP_LNC004328)". Lineage: Eukaryota; Viridiplantae; Streptophyta; Magnoliopsida; Brassicales; Brassicaceae. The record is from RNAcentral.
CUUGUGAACUUAUGUUAGACUAAGUGUGUAUAACUUAUUAGGACGGACCUAAGAAUGAUGUAUGAAUCUCAGUUUAUAUUUAUACAAUUGAUUUGCCCCUUAUGUUUCCUUGUUUAGAUUUAUUCUAUUGAACCUCAGUUGAAUUGAAUUGAAUUUAGAAAGAUAAGAUUUAAAACUUGAUUCACUAGGACUUAGAUUGAAUGGUUAAGGCCGCAGAUCAGUUUGGGCUUAAGAGCCGGGAUCGGGUCUUACAAGUUGGUAUCAGAGCAAGCUUGAUUCUAGGAUUGGUUUGGGUUAUGUGUUCACCACACAUCCGACUGCUGGGUCUCACGGGUUGUUUGUGUUUGUUUAGUUUGAUGUUGUUUUGCUUAGUUCUAAUCAUGAGAUGAGGUUUAUACG